Molecule: ribosomal RNA, 392 nt
Filed under: uncultured bacterium
Lineage: Bacteria
Description: partial 16S ribosomal RNA
Rfam family: Bacterial small subunit ribosomal RNA
Source: RNAcentral
AUACGGAGGAUCCGAGCGUUAUCCGGAUUUAUUGGGUUUAAAGGGUGCGCAGGCGGCCAUUUAAGUCAGCGGUUAAAUCGUGGGGCUCAACCCCAUUCUGCCGUUGAUACUGGGUGGCUUGAUUGCGGUCGAGGUUGGCGGAAUUCGUUGUGUAGCGGUGAAAUGCAUAGAUAUGACGAAGAACACCGAUUGCGUAGGCAGCUGGCCAGGCCGGGAAUGACGCUCAUGCACGAAAGUGCGGGGAUCGAGCAGGAUUAGAUACCCUGGUAGUCCGCACAGUAAACGAUGAAUACUUGUUUUCGGCGAUAUAAUGUCGGAGGGAAAGCGAAAGCGAUAAGUAUUCCCCCUGGGGGGUACGCCGGCAACGGUGAAACUCAAAGGAAUGGGCGGGG